GACGAACGCUGGCGGCGCGCUUAACACAUGCAAGUCGAACGAUGAACCCGGAGCUUGCUCCGGUGGAUUAGUGGCGAACGGGUGAGUAACACGUGAGUAACCUGCCCUUGACUCUGGGAUAACUGCGGGAAACUGUAGCUAAUACCGGAUACGACCCUCGGCGGCAUCGCCAGGGGGUGGAAAGAAUUUCGGUCAAGGAUGGACUCGCGGCCUAGCAGCUAGUUGGUGAGGUAACGGCUCACCAAGGCGACGACGGGUAGCCGGCCUGAGAGGGUGACCGGCCACACUGGGACUGAGACACGGCCCAGACUCCUACGGGAGGCAGCAGUGGGGAAUAUUGCACAAUGGGCGCAAGCCUGAUGCAGCAACGCCGCGUGAGGGAUGACGGCCUUCGGGUUGUAAACCUCUUUUAGUAGGGAAGAAGAGAAAGUGACGGUACCUGCAGAAAAAGCACCGGCUAACUACGUGCCAGCCGCCGCCGUAA
This 484-nucleotide ribosomal RNA is filed under the name uncultured bacterium. Its description in RNAcentral is "partial 16S ribosomal RNA". It matches the Rfam family "Bacterial small subunit ribosomal RNA", at positions 28 to 523 of the family's 1533-position model. The record is from RNAcentral.